GGCCUAACACAUGCAAGUCGAGCGGUAACAGGAAAGUGCUUGCACUUUUGCUGACGAGCGGCGGACGGGUGAGUAAUGUCUGGGGAUCUGCCCGAGGGCGGGGGAUAACCACUGGAAACGGUGGCUAAUACCGCAUAAUGUCGCAAGACCAAAGUGGGGGACCUGAAAGGGCCUCACGCCCUCGGAUGAACCCAGAUGGGAUUAGCUAGUCGGUAGGGUAAUGGCCUACCGAGGCGACGAUCCCUAGCUGGUCUGAGAGGAUGACCAGCCACACUGGGACUGAGACACGGCCCAGACUCCUACGGGAGGCAGCAGUGGGGAAUAUUGCACAAUGGGCGCAAGCCUGAUGCAGCCAUGCCGCGUGUAUGAAGAAGGCCUUCGGGUUGUAAAGUACUUUCAGCGGGGAGGAAGGGUUUAGCCUGAACAGGGUUGAAUUUUGACGUUACCCGCAGAAGAAGCACCGGCUAAC
This 469-nucleotide ribosomal RNA is filed under the name Photorhabdus luminescens. Its description in RNAcentral is "bacterial SSU rRNA". It matches the Rfam family "Bacterial small subunit ribosomal RNA", at positions 45 to 501 of the family's 1533-position model. Lineage: Bacteria; Pseudomonadati; Pseudomonadota; Gammaproteobacteria; Enterobacterales; Morganellaceae. The record is from RNAcentral.